AUAGAGAUGGACGACGCGGGUCAAAGUGUAGUAUCUCUUCUUAUCAGCUAAAUAUCCGAUACGGGUUGUUUGGACCUAAGACAUUAAACUUAUUUUUUUUUGCAAGUUGGCGGAGCGCUUAAAGGCGGCUUCACCUCCGCCGCGGGUCGGCCCGGUAUUGCACUGUCUUCGGAAUCAGCCCACGUAUA
Small nuclear RNA from Dermacentor albipictus, 188 nucleotides. RefSeq annotates it as U2 spliceosomal RNA. The record is from RefSeq and is a predicted model, not a curated record. Lineage: Eukaryota; Metazoa; Arthropoda; Arachnida; Ixodida; Ixodidae.